GGAUUAGAUACCCUGGUAGUCCACGCCGUAAACGAUGAUGACUAGAUGUUGGACGAGCUUAAUUGUUCAGUAUCGUAGCUUACGCGUUAAGUCAUCCGCCUGGGGAGUACGGCCGCAAGGUUAAAACUCAAAGGAAUUGACGGGGACCCGCACAAGCGGUGGAGCAUGUGGUUUAAUUCGACGCAACGCGCAGAACCUUACCUGGGCUUGACAUCCUCUGACAGCUCUAGAGAUAGAGUAUUCCAGCAAUGGACAGAGUGACAGGUGCUGCAUGGCUGUCGUCAGCUCGUGCUG
This 294-nucleotide ribosomal RNA is filed under the name uncultured bacterium. RNAcentral describes it as "partial 16S ribosomal RNA". It matches the Rfam family "Bacterial small subunit ribosomal RNA", at positions 775 to 1067 of the family's 1533-position model. The record is from RNAcentral.